This is a long non-coding RNA of Helianthus annuus (common sunflower), 768 nucleotides long. RefSeq lists it as uncharacterized. NCBI's taxonomy places the organism in Eukaryota, Viridiplantae, Streptophyta, Magnoliopsida, Asterales, Asteraceae. The transcript is spliced from 2 exons. The record is from RefSeq and is a predicted model, not a curated record.
UCAACAAUUGGAUAAUCGGAAAACAUAUGCAAACUUUGUCCUGGUGCAAAUGAAGCAAAAACGAGUGAUAUGGAAAUAACUAGCCAGUUGGGCAGAGUGAGGUGCCAGUGACCGAAGUAAAAUUGUUGCUAUUUUCUGUGAGCGGGUUGAGUCAACUAUCUCUAUUUUAAAAAGAGGGACUAUUAUUGCAAUAAGCAGAAAGUUGGAAAUUCAUUAUAAUGGUUAGGAAAAAAGCAAGGACUAUAGUUGCCAAAGUAUGAAAGUGGUGUUAAUUCCACCACUAGAAGACAAAACGAAAGAAAACAUAUGCAGAUCUUAUAAUUCUCGUUGAAUUAGGAAUUGUUGACUUUUUGGGCUGCACAUGUUACGUGAGAUAUGGGCUGUGUUUGUUUUGUGGGCUAACUCAUCGUAAAGAGUAAAAAAAAGGGAGGCUGCAUAUAAUAUAAAAAAACAAGACGGCUGGUAAAAAGAGAUACGCAACAUCGACAUUAGACAUAAGAUCAGAGGCAGUUGGACGAAUUUGAAGGAGAUCUUUGGCGAAAGAAUUCAAGGCUAGGAAUCAUUGGAAGCGAGCGGGUUUGAAGCUUACGGGUUCUAUCUUCUCAGUUUCUUUUGUUUUCUUAGUUCUUUGUUCUUUGUUCUUUAAUUCAAUGAACUCAGUUAUGCGACUUUGUUUAUUUGUUUUUAAGACCAUGAUUCUUGGCUAAAAUUUUAAGCCACCUAGAUUUGAUAAAUGGAUUAAUAUAAAGUUUUUACCGUUUUUGUUAA